Molecule: ribosomal RNA, 254 nt
Filed under: uncultured bacterium
Lineage: Bacteria
Description: partial 16S ribosomal RNA
Rfam family: Bacterial small subunit ribosomal RNA
Source: RNAcentral
UACGUAGGGUGCGAGCGUUGUCCGGAAUUAUUGGGCGUAAAGAGCUCGUAGGCGGCUUAGUAAGUCGGGUGUGAAAACCCCAGGCUCAACCUGGGGACGCCACCCGAUACUGCUAUAGCUAGAGUCCAGUAGGGGAGUGUGGAAUUCCCAGUGUAGCGGUGAAAUGCGCAGAUAUUGGGAGGAACACCAGCGGCGAAGGCGGCACUCUGGGCUGGUACUGACGCUGAGGAGCGAAAGCGUGGGUAGCGAACAGG